Megalopta genalis is the source of this 1360-nucleotide non-coding RNA. NCBI's taxonomy places the organism in Eukaryota, Metazoa, Arthropoda, Insecta, Hymenoptera, Halictidae. The record is from RefSeq and is a predicted model, not a curated record.
UUUCACGUCACGCGAGAAUAAACGAUAUCCAAAGCCAACGAAAUAGCGGUUACUUACAGGAGACCACGUGGCAAGCUGUCCGACUCAAGUUCAGUGCGUUCCGAUCGAUUUCCAGUCAACAGUAGCAAUGUUUACAUCACCACGUGUCCAAGAGGCGUUAUCAUAAGCACUACCGAACUUCUACAAGAGCGCGAAACCGACUGAGUCAGCGACAUCCGUGCGUGCCCUUUUAUAUUCAGCGGUCAACUCGUGACAUCCACAUUCGAGUCAACAGACAGACAGCCAACCGAUUGUGUCGACUCAACACCGAAUUGUCAAGAUAGGAAACUGUUGCCCGGGAAAAUGAUAACAACCCAGUGUAGUCGAAGUAAAGAGAACUUCGAAGGAGGAGUCGUGUCCGCCUCGUGUCGAAGCCUGAACGCUGAAUGAGCGCCGGCAGGAUAAAGAAGGGGCGAGACGUUAUCGCGAACGUUGGAGAACAACCACACUGAAAAGGUGACGGGACCACGCGAGGCAUCGACUAUCUUUCAGGCCCCACCACCGUCAUUCUUCAAUUCGUCGUGUAAGUACAAAGGCGGUAGGGUUCGCCGUGGAUCGAAGAAACGUGACCGAGAAAUUGGUAUGUCUCCUGGUGACAAUUUGCGUGGAUCACGUCACCGGCAAUAGAUACCGAUCGACGAUUUCCGCGGAGACUUUUGAUUGUGUCAAUGCGAUUGCCGCGUCAUAUGACUCUGUAACUAUAAACGAUGGAAAAAGCAUGACAUCGGAUAAUCGAUGUUAAUAGGAGCCCGGUGACCGAACAGAGUUCGCAGCAUGAUUUACAUGGUUGCAGUGAUAAUCGUACGCCUACAGAUUGGUUAUCAUGUGAUUAGCAGCUAGGUAGAGUUACCUUGUAUCAAUUACAUUCUAAACUAUAACCCCCAUAUUAGUCAUAUAUACUACAGACGAGGUAAUUGUAAUUAUUUUUGCUGAAAAAUGCAAACAAAUUUUAUGCACAAUUAAGUGGAACGUUUGAAUUCAUUUGGAAUUGAUAUUUUCUCUUUGACAGGGCAACAUGUCUGCAUUGAGCCGAUAACUGAUGCUUUCGUUUGAUCUCGAUCGAUUUCAUGAUCGAUUUCGUGCAUGAUAAUUUUCAAUACUCGAAAAUUUUGCUAUAGCAACAACUGGUGUUGGUCAGUGAUUUAAUAUUUCUUUCGCUGAACAAAUAUAAGCUACUCAACAAAAUGAGAGAAACUCUAAUUUAUGACCGAAAAAUUAUUCAAUUUCGACCUCCUGCAACCUCGUGCAAACACAACUUACAAUGUUCUGCUUGUACUCACUACGUAGAUCAAUUUUUACGAUUAAAUUUGUACAUAUUUUA